Molecule: non-coding RNA, 732 nt
Organism: Phascolarctos cinereus (koala)
Lineage: Eukaryota; Metazoa; Chordata; Mammalia; Diprotodontia; Phascolarctidae
Source: RefSeq, a predicted model, not a curated record
UGAAGCCAGGCUCUCUGACUUUAAGUCUAGUGCUCUUUCCACUGUGUAACAAAGAUUAAUGAAGAGAAAUCAUGUCCUAUUGUCCCUGGUAGAAAAAGCAAAGUACAGAUACUGCUACAUAAUCAUUCAUCUGCAGAUGUCUUUGUCAGCAAAUGUAGUAACUUACACAGAAGUCCUCAAACUAGAAUGAAUCCUCAGGUGACAAAUACCUCCUGGCCCUAGAGAUUUGCUGAUCCUACCAGACUGGUGUCUCAGUGGCUGUGGAGUUCACAGGGAGUCCAUGACCUUCACUGCAGCUGGGAAAGCAGCAUCUUUCCAGAAAUUAUUGUAAGGCAAGAUGAGGGAACAAAAGAGUCAGGCCACAGAGAAAAUAGGUCAUUAUUCUUACGAAAAGUUCACCACUUCAUAGAUGGAAGGAGCAAUAACAAAAAUAUGCACCCAAACAUUUGGCUUCUAAGUAAUGAGAGAUCAACAGCUAUUUCCACAGGGAUGCUACUUGGAGUUUGGCAGUCACUGAGAAAAUGCAACUGCCAUGAAGCUCACAGGCUGAAGUCACUGCUUGGUCACAUAGAUACCUGUAUUUGUGAAAAGAAAAGAAAGAAAGAAACCAUUGGCUACAUUGGGCUAUGACUAAUAAAAUCAUGAGUCUUAUAGCAGGGAAAGACCUCGAAAGACCUGGAGUAGGAGAAAUGGGUUCUUGUCUUCCAUCUAAAUCUCACCAAUGAUAUGACU